GCUCUGCUGCCAGGAGGUGGGCAUAUUCGCGCUGGGAAAAUACGAUCACGCCGUGUUUCACCGCUGCUCCUGCAGGAUGAGGGUGCUGUGCGCUCAGAGGCACUGCGCCGUCUGCCGGGAGCAGCUGGGCGAGACCUUCCCUGUGAGCAGAAGUGGUACAGUCACACAGACCUGGCUUGGCACAAAGCAGAGGGGAACCCAGACGCCACUUCGUCGGUUUUGUGAUGUCUGUUACCCGGACAAUGACGAGCUACUGAGGAACCUGGACACGGAACACGUUUUUCGGUCACUUCUGCAAUGCUGGCGGCAUGCAGGACUACUUUGGGUGUAGAGGACAGGCCCCUCCUCAGCAGGCAGAGAGUGGCAUUGGGGCCUGGAGCCUGUCCCAGACAGCAUGGGGCCACGAAGUAUACCCUGGAGAGGAUGCCAGUCUGGUUCAGGGCGCUGGUACGUAAACACAUACAAGCACAGUCUAAAGAGAGAGAUGCUGAUUAGUAUAACUGUGUGUCUUCAGAGGUCAACAUUGGGAACCAGAAGAAAUCUAUGCAGCACAGAGUGAGCAUGCAAACUCUCAAACCCCCCAUUGCUGAAGGAGUCGGGCAACACUGCGAAUCACUGAGCCACCAUGCUGCCCAUUUAUUGUCCUUGUGUGUUGUUUUUGUGGAUGGGUUUCUCCUGAAAUGCAUAGUCAAACCCUGCAGAUGGCGAUAAAUAUGAAAUAUUUUGUUUGUCUGACAUGUUUAUGUGACUUUCAGCAUUUAGCCAUUUGGGUGUCUGGCCACAGCAGAAGUACUUUCUCAACAGUACGGCAACAGGCCCAGGAUCUGAACGAGGUAAUUUCCUCAGCUUGUUUGAGGACCCGCCCCUUCUUCCUAGCCAAUGGCAAACACCUCCAUCCAAGAGGGUGACUUUUCAGCACUCGUGUCCAGAAUCUGUCCCUGCUGUCCCCAAGGCAACACUAGCUGUGCUUGGGGGCACCGUGGCAAUAUGCUCCUCACAAGAAAGCUACCACCUACCUCUGUUUCUGCUGCCCUCUGUUGGACGAUCAUCUCACUGCAGGAAGAAUCCUACCGCCGGGGUCCAAGUCAAUUCCAAAUGAAAUCUAAGGAGUCGGUAAUAAUAGCCCGUCAGGAAUCCCCUAUGAUGGGAAAAAAAACUAACAGAGAAGAUUCUGAAGAGGAGCCAGAGGAUGGUGGCCAGAAUUCCACACGUGAACCAUUUGCCAGCAGAUGCUAACUACGCCUCACACUUGAUGGAGACACGUGUGUCUUCCCCAACAGCCUUAUCACUGGCAUGGUGACAGGUGAUCUUUGUUAACUGGUAGCAGCAGUGAAAAGCACUGGAUAAAAGAAACGUGACGUUAUUUAUUUAUGCGUUUUUCUGUGGGCGGCUGUGUUUUCACGCUGUUUACAGAUAAAGGGCGUCUCUGAAUGGGUGGCUAUGUCUAUGUCGUCUGUCGAUGGCACAGUUUGGAAACUUGACCAGAAAUCCAUGUUGUUUUAACUCUAACAGAUGAAGGGACAGUCUGUGUUGGUCUUGUUAAAACUAAUGGUGCUGUUUUGCAACAUUUUCUCAUCGGGGUACUUUAUAUAGUAUUUAAAAAACAUGAUUUGUGAUUUGUUACUGGAUUCUCAUUAAAGUACUAUAACCACAUGUAGUUUAGAGAGAACCUACAGCAUUCAAUGCGUGUAUUAUAUAUUGAUGUCAGUAAUCCUGAAUUAUGAAUAUGAUGAUAUGGGGAUUAAAGACUCGUGAAAAACA
This is a long non-coding RNA of Brienomyrus brachyistius, 1761 nucleotides long. RefSeq lists it as uncharacterized. The transcript is spliced from 3 exons. NCBI's taxonomy places the organism in Eukaryota, Metazoa, Chordata, Actinopteri, Osteoglossiformes, Mormyridae. The record is from RefSeq and is a predicted model, not a curated record.